AUUCAUGGAGAAAGAAUUUUGACUCCGGCCUGUCACUCGGCCUCCAGUUCCACCCUCAUCCUGUUACUCUCAGAUGCUCUCCUGCCUUUCCACACAUCUGCUUUCCAGUCUCCUGUAAUCUCCACCUGGCACCUGACACCUUUUGAAAUCAAUUCACUCAAGAUUCUACCCACAAGAGUUGAUCAUCCGGUUCUUCCAGAUGGAAACCAGCUUGCCCAGAGACUCUAUCAGGAUGGGAGAUCGCAUAUUCCCGAGCCCGGUUACUCAUUUAACACAGCUUCGCAAGAGCUGGAAUCCUUCUGGUUGUGUCCAUUUCUUUGUCCAGAGCAACGCAUGAAUGAUUAUCCGGAUGUUUCAGGGGAGAGUGGAACUGGGGCAAUGAGGACGAAUCAAGAUGUCACCACACAUCUGAAAACUGGCCUCCAGCCUUCUGUGGGAUUUUCUCAACAGAUCAUGGGCCUCUCGCCACGGAGAUGUUGGCCUCAGAAGCAAUGGGGAGAAGGUGAGAGUUCCAGGCCAUGUUGAAUACGGGAAACAGAACACUCAGAGAACUGCUUUGACAGAAGUGACGUGUGGGUAAAGCCUGGUAAUGGGAAUGGACUGGAGGGGUGUGUGUGUGUGUGUGUGUGUGUGUGUGUGUGUGUGUGUAUGUGAGAGAGAGAGAGAGAGAGAGAGAGAGAGAGGGGUAUCUCCAGUUAUUCUUUGUAUAUUUAAGUUGGGUCAUGAUAGUUGCUACAAUG
This 740-nucleotide long non-coding RNA is filed under the name Canis lupus familiaris (dog). RNAcentral describes it as "lncRNA (ENSCAFG00845001135.1)". The record is from RNAcentral. Lineage: Eukaryota; Metazoa; Chordata; Mammalia; Carnivora; Canidae.